Long non-coding RNA from Bos taurus (domestic cattle), 911 nucleotides. NCBI's taxonomy places the organism in Eukaryota, Metazoa, Chordata, Mammalia, Artiodactyla, Bovidae. The record is from Ensembl.
AACCUGAAGGAUGUUGGCAAUUAGAGCCCAUUUCGAUCACCCGGGUUUGAGCUGACUGCCUUGGAGAACAUCAAUUAGCUCAGUGGCUAAACUGCGCUGAGAGUUACAGGUUACCAAGGGGACCUGUGGUCAAUGCCAGGAUUUAAGUGGCUCUAGUCUUCGGGGAUCAUCUUUCCUGAAUUGCAGCCAUGUUCUGGGGCUGUUGAUUAUCGGCAGGCUGAUUAGACCCUGUCUAUGGAGGAGAGUGAAUUCCUAAUUGCCAGCUGCUGAGGAGGCGAGCUUCCCGGCACAGACGCAGAGAGAUACAGCGCUUUUGCUGGAUCACACAGCCAGGAGAGGGCUCCUUACUCCUCAGUUCUGAGCCAGACCCCGAGGACCACCUUCUCACCGCCCUCAACAGUGUCCGAUCGACUCAGGGAUGGGCCAUGCCCAGCUGAUGAGAACCGGCUUCGGAGCUUCGGUGGGGACAUUUGUCUGGAGGCUCUUUUUCCCCUCACAGGUUGCUGAACUGGUAGGAGGUUACCCUGGAGCUCCUGGCCAGUGCAGAGCAAGAACCUGGCUGAGAAUCCUCACUGAUCAGAAGUCAGACAAGCAAUGGAGAGACUGAGACCCAACCCAGCACUGCCUUAUACCCUUGGCCUUUCCAGUAACAUGAGCCAAUGAAUUCCGUUUUCUCUCAUGUGUGUUCCUUUAAAUAUAACAAGUUUAACAUCAUCCGUACAUGUCACCCUUUUCUUUAUUUCUUUAGCUUGCCAGGUCUUAGUUGCAGCAUGUGAACUUAGUUGCGGUACGUGGGAUCUAGUUCCCUGACCAGGGAUCGAACUUGGUCUUUGGUGUCAUGAAGAUUGAAUGAGAUGCAGCAUGUGAAUCAUGUAAUUUGAGAACUGACUCAUAGUAAAUUAUCCAAAAAC